This 330-nucleotide ribosomal RNA is filed under the name uncultured eukaryote. RNAcentral describes it as "partial 18S ribosomal RNA". It matches the Rfam family "Eukaryotic small subunit ribosomal RNA", at positions 1470 to 1796 of the family's 1831-position model. The record is from RNAcentral.
CCCUUAGAUGUUCGGGGCCGCACGCGCGCUACACUGAAGGAAUCAGCACGUCUUUCUCCUUGUCCGAAAGGACUGGGUAACCCGCUGAACCCCCUUCGUGCUAGGGAUUGGGGCUUGUAAUUCUUCCCCAUGAACGAGGAAUUCCCAGUAAGCGCGAGUCAUAAGCUCGCGUUGAUUACGUCCCUGCCCUUUGUACACACCGCCCGUCGCUACUACCGAUUGGAUGGUUUAGUGAGAUCCUCGGAUUGGUCCCGGAGCGGCCUCUGGUCGUGCCGGAGUGCCGAAAAGAAUGUCGAACUUGAUCAUCUAGAGGAAGUAAAAGUCGUAACA